Acyrthosiphon pisum (pea aphid) is the source of this 75-nucleotide non-coding RNA. The record is from Rfam. NCBI's taxonomy places the organism in Eukaryota, Metazoa, Arthropoda, Insecta, Hemiptera, Aphididae.
CACAUGUCGCCUGAAACUUGCUUUGACCUAAGUACAUUUGCAUCAAGGUGAGCAAAGUUUCAGGCGUGUAAGUGA